UGUGGCUUUGGACACAGACACUGUCAUUGACAAAGUGGCAGAGAAGAGUGAGCUAAUGAGGAAACUGCUGUUGUACUAAGUUCCCCACCUCUCUAAGAAUGCCCUGUAUGGUUCAUUGUCCAUUGUUGAUGAGAGUAUAUGCAGAGGGCCUUGCAGCCUUUUCCACUAAGAGACGGCAUUAUUGUUAGUUUGUUGAAGUGACUGUUUUCCAGAUAUGCUGCUAUCUCUUG
Pseudoliparis swirei is the source of this 230-nucleotide long non-coding RNA. RefSeq lists it as uncharacterized. The transcript is spliced from 3 exons. The record is from RefSeq and is a predicted model, not a curated record. Lineage: Eukaryota; Metazoa; Chordata; Actinopteri; Perciformes; Liparidae.